AAUAAGCCUUUUCCUGGUAGAUGACGACGCGUUGUUUUUGAAAUCGCUGGAAAUUGAAUUUCUGCAUCAUACCGACUUCACCGUUGAAACAUUUGCCACCGGUGAACUUUGCCUGGAGAAUUUAUCACAUAAACCUGAUGUGAUCAUUUUAGAUUAUCAUCUUAAUG
This 167-nucleotide unclassified non-coding RNA is filed under the name fungal sp. RNAcentral describes it as "partial internal transcribed spacer region". Lineage: Eukaryota; Fungi. The record is from RNAcentral.